RNAcentral lists this long non-coding RNA (994 nucleotides) under Equus caballus (horse). RNAcentral's name for it is "lncRNA (ENSECAG00000047336.1)". Lineage: Eukaryota; Metazoa; Chordata; Mammalia; Perissodactyla; Equidae. The record is from RNAcentral.
CCUCUGCAGCGGCCGCAGCCACAGCCUCCCGACGCCGAAACCCCGCCCCACCUGCUGGAAGCCCCGCCCCAUAGGCCCGCCUCUCGAGGCCCCGCCCAGUAGGCCCGCCCCUCGCACUUAAACCCCGCCCUCACUAGAAGCCCCGCCCCGCCUCGCCGCCCGCGAGGCCUCAGUCCCCGAGCGGUAGCCGCGCUGGAUCCCGGUGGCGGUCUCCGCGCGGCCGGAAGCCCACGCGGGCGGUGGUGGGGAGGGGCCGCGCGGGCCUGGGGAGGGGCAGCCCUCGGGGAGGUGGAAGCAGGGUCGGUGCACGGCGCUCCUUUGGGAACCCAGCCUGCUGCCUGACCGGAAAAGACCCCCGAGGACCACCUCCUCCUUCCCUCUGAGAGCAGAAAGGAAAAGGCUGCAGGCCUCCUCACCCCAGGUGUUAGCAGGACACCGGAAUCGAGCAGAGACGGGAGGGAGGGCGAGCGCUGACCCACGUCCCUCCCCAGCCCCCCUCAGGGGUCGCUUCUGGAAGCCCCCUCGGCAGAGCUCUUCGUCUGCCUUCCUUUGUAGGUGGCCGGGCGCCCAGGAUCGCAAGCCAUUUAGCACCUCUGGAGGUCAAAGCACUGUCUGCGAAGAGAAAUACACACGUGGCAAAGCCUCUGCCUAUCAAUCUGGAGGGAAACGCAAACACGCUGGGACCUGCCAGCCAGCCUGAUGGGAGCAGCAGCACCUGGGUGUGUGGACGCUUUCGUGAACACAGGAGGACAUCCCGGGAGGUAUCAGGGCAAAAAAGGCUACCAAAAUAAUAGAGUCAGUUUUCCUCCUGCCUCUGCAGCCUUGGGUGAAUGUGUAUGUGAAACACAGAUCACCGCUAAUGUGUCCCCAGUUCAGAUUUCUGCAUCUGCAAGUUCAGAAUUAUGGUGAUUUUGACAAGAGAGAUAAUGACUGUGAAUCAUACCAGCUCCUGCUUUGAAAACAGUCUACAGACACUCUGAGCAGACAGGCUUCU